AGAAUGAAAUAAAAGAAAGGGAAUAGUGGGCUGGAUCACCUUUACCAAUGAAAGAAAAUCCAAACAAGGCUACCUGUAAAACCCAGGCAACUUUGGCCGUAUCCAUGGAACUAUUUGUUGGAAAUAAGCCUUCGUUGCCGCCUUCUUCACGAUCUGCAUCUCCCCUCUUCCAUGGACUUUCUGCUGUCUUUGUCUCCUUUCCUUCUUCUUUUUCUAUAUAUAUCACUCUUUAAAAUCCAUGUUUCUACUGUUCUUUCCUUCCAAGGAUCGAUGCAGAGAAAGCGAGAGAAUUCACACUUCCCUCACAUAAGGAAUAUAAUUCUCUCAGUUUUUAUCAUAUCAUCUCUGAUAUAUAUUCAACUGUAGGUUCUUACUCAACUAGUUCUCGAUUACUGUAGGAGGGCACAAAUAGCUAUAGUAAUCUUGAACCUAUGAGUACGCCAAGAAAUGGGCAAGAAAAUGCGCACGUACAGUGCUAAAUUUUAUCUGCUUUGAAGGUUAAGAAAGUUGACAGGUAACUAAGGCGAAUUGGCUGAUCUUUUAUCUGAAAUUGUUCCUGCCUGGCUCCCUGAAUGCCAUCUAAGAAGCUUGUCAAAGAAUGUUGGCAACCUUCCUACUUGGCAUGAGGGGAGUCACGCAGGCCCCAACAUCAUAUAAUCUAUAUGUAUGCUUCUAUAUCUGCCUAUGCCUCAACUCAACAUACUGAAUCCUUCCUGUUUGCUACAGAACAAAGGUGAAAUGGGAUUUCUGUAAGUUGUUGAUUCAUUAUUUACAUGUAUAUGCUUCAAGUCAUUCCAUUCAGUAAAUUUGCUAUUCUGUGAGAAAUAUCAACAUCCUUAAUGACUACAGUUGGGGCCACAUUUAAUGGUUCAGGAUAAUAUAGAUCAACAUUUACAUUAAUCCUUUGUGUUUUAUUAUAUCCUCUUCUGCACAUGUAUGCAUUUAUUUGUCUUUUGGUACUUUGGAAGAGCUCUCAGGAUUUGAAAAUCUCUACAAUGACGUCUGAAAUGAUACUCGAGAAACCUAUACCGUAAAAUUGAUUUACUUAUAACGAUUUUAGUAUAAAUAUUAAUUAUGAUAUGAAUUCCAUGCGAGUCCCACAAUGAUUAACUUUUAUGGUGAAACCACAUGUCAGUUUCAUCAAAUAAAAAUUCCUAAUGCUCUAAUAGCUAUUUUGAAUGUUGCAGGGGGAAUAGCAUGUCUAUUGAAUCUUCCCUACAAUGACUUGCAGGCAAAAUGUAUGCAAGUACUUGAGUGACUAACUAAUUGAUGACCAUAAUGGAUUAAAUAAUUGAGAGGUGAAUUUAUAGUCAUAUAAAGCGUACGAAUCUUCAAAACGAUAUUUUCUUUGUAUUUGUCAUUUAAUAGUUUUUGGUGCAGUGUUUCUGAAUUUCAGAGAGAUCUGUGGCUUGGAAUAAACCAUAUAAUGCAGGGCUUUGAGGUACUGAUUUCAACCCAAAAUUAGUUCAUGGGCGAGAGAAUUGUUCAAAUAUUUACUUUCACGCUCCAACAUGAAUAUCUAAAGGGUGAAGUUAGUAGGACUGAAUAUUGAUUGACCGUCUAAUAUCGAGACAAGAGUUGAUUAUGAUAUCAUGUGAAAAUCGCUUAAUUCAAUCUCAAAGACUUACUUAAGAAAGAGGAAUUGCCCAAAUCUUUUAUGUUUAAUACUUUUACAUUAUACCCCAUCAAUUUGGAACACCAUAUUAUGUUUCUCAGCCCUUGAACCUAAUAUAUGGGCUUUUGAAAAUGAAAUUGAGAAGAAUCGAUGCAUUUUGAAACUUGUCAUCUUC
Long non-coding RNA from Hevea brasiliensis (rubber tree), 1790 nucleotides. RefSeq lists it as uncharacterized. The transcript is spliced from 2 exons. NCBI's taxonomy places the organism in Eukaryota, Viridiplantae, Streptophyta, Magnoliopsida, Malpighiales, Euphorbiaceae. The record is from RefSeq and is a predicted model, not a curated record.